UGGUCUGGCAGACAAUAGCAACAAUGAGAACAGCCAAGGUGGUCUUCCAAUCUAUGAAACAAUCCAACAUGUUGCACCAAAGAGGAAAGUGAUGGAUACCGUGUAUGACAAACUGUCACUAAGCAACAUGGACCCGUCUGCACUGUCUAACCCCUGUGAGCUGGUAGAGUGAAUAAGCAUCAACACUCCUCAAGACCACCUGCGAGGCAUGGACUGGUAGAACAGAACUUGAUGAAUAUUGACUUCACAUGCACUUUUUCCUUUAAGUUGUUUUUCCUCUGCAAUGUACACUGUAACUUGAUAGUGUUUCCUGUUGUGGUGAUACCAGAGAUUGUAUAUAUAUAUAGAGAGAUACGCCAAGGUAGUGGGUUGCUCUGGGUGCCAAAUGUGAACAGGGUUCCGGUCUGCUUAAAGGGGCGUGUGACAUCCGCUUGACCUGAAAUAAAAAGUUUGUUUUUCCUCAAAAUUCAAACAGUAGACCCACAAGCAUUAGGCUUUGCUUGAUUGUAGAUUCAAGUAGGCCUACGCCUAGACCCUCAACAACCCCAGAAAGUUACAAUGACCGAUUUCUUGUAUAAAAUCCAUGUGUGUCAUCAAUUUUAAUUGAACAGUAGGCUACGUGUGUGUAUAAGAGGAUGUAGUUUGUUACUUUGAAACGUUACCACUUACGUUUGUACCAAAUAAAUAGCUAAGAGUGAUGCUGUGUGUGCUCAUAUUGACGUGUGCAUGUUUAGUUAAACAAGACUUUUGUAAAGUGCAGUAACCGAUGUAUAGCCUAGGUAUGUGUGAUACAGUAUGUAUUGUACUG
Engraulis encrasicolus (European anchovy) is the source of this 808-nucleotide long non-coding RNA. RefSeq lists it as uncharacterized. The record is from RefSeq and is a predicted model, not a curated record. The transcript is spliced from 4 exons. NCBI's taxonomy places the organism in Eukaryota, Metazoa, Chordata, Actinopteri, Clupeiformes, Engraulidae.